Molecule: long non-coding RNA, 471 nt
Organism: Macadamia integrifolia
Lineage: Eukaryota; Viridiplantae; Streptophyta; Magnoliopsida; Proteales; Proteaceae
Exons: 3
Source: RefSeq, a predicted model, not a curated record
UAAGCCGAACCAUUGAUGAUUCUGAAAGUGGGAACAUCAUCAGUGAUCCUUCUUCUUCCCGUCUUUAUGAUUGACAAAUCAGAUUCUCCAAAAAAAAAUCCCAUGUUUCCUUGUGCAGGUAGCAUGCAUACUCUUAUACGGCCCUGAAUAUGGCCAUUUCAUUACCUUAAGGAAAUUAAUUGCAAUUUGAUUCUUUGAAGCUUCACUGCCCCCAAGUUCUAUUCUUGUUACUCCGAGAAGAUAAAUAAACAAGUGAAACUUGAGAUAUUGUGUAUGGGAAGCAUGGGGAGCUUGCUCUCACAAGAAGAUUGUGGCAGCAUCACCAGCUAUCGUAUUUUGGAAUCAUUCUUCCGGAAAAAACCCGUGUUUUUGCAGGUACCACCAUUGUCAUAUUUCAUAGCACAUUUUCUAUUUCAUCCAUUGCAUACAGUCGUACAUAUUCAGAGAAUACAUGGCUAUUUGAUUAACACA